ACUCAAAGGAAUUGACGGGGCCCCGCACAAGCGGCGGAGCAUGCGGAUUAAUUCGAUGCAACGCGAAGAACCUUACCUGGGUUUGACAUAUGCCGGAAAGGCCUAGAGAUAGGUCCCCCCUUGUGGUCGGUAUACAGGUGGUGCAUGGCUGUCGUCAGCUCGUGUCGUGAGAUGUUGGGUUAAGUCCCGCAACGAGCGCAACCCUCGUCCUAUGUUGCCAGCGGGUUAUGCCGGGAACUCAUAGGAGACCGCCGGGGUCAACUCGGAGGAAGGUGGGGAUGACGUCAAGUCAUCAUGCCCCUUAUGUCCAGGGCUUCACGCAUGCUACAAUGGCCGGUACAAAGGGCUGCAACCCCGCAAGGGUGAGCGAAUCCCAAAAAGCCGGUCUCAGUUCGGAUUGGGGUCUGCAACUCGACCCCAUGAAGUCGGAGUCGCUAGUAAUCCCAGAUCAGCAACGCUGGGGUGAAUACGUUCCCGGGGCUUGCACACACCGCCCGU
This 498-nucleotide ribosomal RNA is filed under the name uncultured bacterium. RNAcentral describes it as "bacterial SSU rRNA". It matches the Rfam family "Bacterial small subunit ribosomal RNA", at positions 899 to 1397 of the family's 1533-position model. The record is from RNAcentral.